RNAcentral lists this ribosomal RNA (303 nucleotides) under uncultured bacterium. Its description in RNAcentral is "partial 16S ribosomal RNA". It matches the Rfam family "Bacterial small subunit ribosomal RNA", at positions 507 to 809 of the family's 1533-position model. The record is from RNAcentral.
AGCAGUAGCCGCGGUAAUACAGAGGGUGCGAGCGUUAAUCGGAUUUACUGGGCGUAAAGCGUGCGUAGGCGGCUUCUUAAGUCGGAUGUGAAAUCCCUGAGCUUAACUUAGGAAUUGCAUUCGAUACUGGGAAGCUAGAGUAUGGGAGAGGAUGGUAGAAUUCCAGGUGUAGCGGUGAAAUGCGUAGAGAUCUGGAGGAAUACCGAUGGCGAAGGCAGCCAUCUGGCCUAAUACUGACGCUGAGGUACGAAAGCAUGGGGAGCAAACAGGAUUAGAUACCCCGGUAGUCACUGUCUCUUAUAU